Molecule: ribosomal RNA, 459 nt
Filed under: uncultured bacterium
Lineage: Bacteria
Description: partial 16S ribosomal RNA
Rfam family: Bacterial small subunit ribosomal RNA
Source: RNAcentral
CCUACGGGUGGCAGCAGUGAGGAAUAUUGGUCAAUGGCCGGAAGGCUGAACCAGCCAAGCCGCGUGAAGGACGAAGGUGCCAAGCAUUGUAAACUUCUUUUGUCAAGGGACAAAAUCAGGCUCGAGAGCCUGACCGAGGGUACUUGAAGAAAAAGCAUCGGCUAACUCCGUGCCAGCGGCCGCGGUAAGACGGAGGAUGCGAGGGUUAUCGGGAUUUAUUGGGUUUAAAGGGUGCGAAGGGGGAUGGUUAAGUCAGCGGUAAAGGCCCGGGGCUCAACCCCGGCGAGCCGUUGAAACUGGCUGUCUUGAGAUGUCGAGAGGUAUGCGGAAUGCGCAGUGGAGCGGUGAAAUGCUUAGAUAUUGCGCAGAACUCCGAUUGCGAAGGCAGCAUACCGGCGGCGAUCUGACGCUGAGGCACGAAAGCGUGGGUAUCGAACAGGAUUAGAUACCCCUGUAGUC